This 1610-nucleotide long non-coding RNA is filed under the name Cyanistes caeruleus (blue tit). RNAcentral describes it as "lncRNA (ENSCCEG00000008649.1)". The record is from RNAcentral. Lineage: Eukaryota; Metazoa; Chordata; Aves; Passeriformes; Paridae.
GACCAGCCAUAGCAGUACCACUCUUGGUGAGCCAGCUAGUGAAUAAAGCUGGCACUGCUUACAGGGAAGAGCCAUGGGCAUGAACGUUGAGAAAUGGUGACUUAAAUAUGUUCAACUUGUAAAUGUAGCCUUGACAUUUUCUAACUUAAAAGUACAUCUCUAGAUCUAGAAAGUCAAAUUUUGUGUAGCAACAUAGCUAAUUCACCUUCUAUGUCUUCUCCAAGCACAAGUGCUUCUCCAAGCACAGUUAAACUGGAGAACUAGACCUCAGCCCCCUCUAUAUGACAUCACCUCUUGUGGCUUUUUUCAGAAGCAUUUGUUUGCUUCUGGACAAACAUAUAACCCCUCUAUAACUUCUAUGAUGCAUAUGCAUUUGCAUUUUUGGAUUCCUUUGGUGCUUAAUUUUCAACAUAGGUUGGGGAGCUAUCCUGAGCUGAUGUUCAGUCCAGGCUUCUUCCAAAUUAUACAAAUCUUUCAUCUCCUCUACAGAAUAAGGUCCAGGAUGAAGCAGAAGACCCUGAGUAUAUUGCACUGGCACCCAGAAGAACAGCAGAGCAUGUAUGGGCUGACAGACCUCUACAUAGACACAUGCUUCCACAAGCCAGCUUAAGUAAGAGCCUAAACAAAACCAGAAGCAUACAUAGGAGAUCAGACUUGGGAUGGCAGACAUUGCCAGUGAUGGUUAGGGAGAGCAUUAGGCAAAUUCACCUUAUAGAGUGAGUGGGACCUCUUCAGCAGCAGAAAACUGUGUGAGUUGUGUCCUUCUCCUCACAUGCUGAAGUUUGUGGUCACAAGUUGAUGCUACCCUGGAGUAUCUGUGUACCUUUUACCAUGCUCCAGCACUUAAGGGGUCAGAAACGAUGAAUUUCUUCCAGGAGCAGUGAGGCCAUAAAAAAACAGAAUGGUGCACCUUUUAGCCAGAUGGCCACUUCCUUCCUCCUGAAAACAGGUAUUGACAUGUAGGACAGCAUAGUGAUCGUGACGCUUAAGUCCCACACCCGCUGUGGUUCACAUCUCUGGAUUGCUAGCCACUGUUAUUGAAUCCAUUUCUCACACUGUAACAUUGUACUGGAAAGAGUGGCAAACGGCCAAGGAAUUUUUCCAGAGCUGUAACACAAGAUAUUCAAGACUUCCAGUAAGAAUCCCCUAACCCUCAUCUAACUGACGUAUGAAACCAAUAUAAAAUACAUAGGGCUCAAAGUAAACCCAAAAUGUGAAGCUGCAAUUCUCUUGGGUUUGUUUUCAUCAGCUCACUAUGCUGAUCUUCUCUUCAUUUUGCUUUUUUUUUUUUCCUGUAUAUAGCUGCAGAGGGUUUGCAAGUGUGUGUCUGAGACACCUCUUGAGGCAAGGCAAAACAUUGGCCUCCAACCUUGCUGAAAUGGAACCUGAAGUUUGCUUCAGGGUAUUUUUGUAAGCACCAGCCUAUGGUCAUGAAGAUCUGGCCAGCAUUCUGCUGGUUGUAUUUACACACUCUCAGGUCUCUCCUCUGGUCUAUGAAGUGUGAUGCCAUGGGCAGUGGCAAUAGCAGUGACAGAGCCUGGAGCCAGAGGCACAAUUGUUGUAUUAACAAAUUGACACAGUAUAAUGCCACAUCAACACGUCUCUCUUGC